GUAUGUGUAUUGUGCUUUGCCUUGAUUCCCAUUUUAGCCUUCUGAGUUGCUUCGUCUCCUCUCCUCUAUUACCAAUUACCACGACCUGAAUACAAGAGACCCCUCCACCCAAUUAAAAAGGCAUACAGCAGAAUAAGUAGGAGAUAUUUCUUUUUAUUCAAAAAUAGAAAACUGGAUUAAAAGGUCCCUUUUUCUUUAUAAAUACGUACCCUUCUCUUCGCCCAUCUUUGCUUCAAUUUUCUGCAUUUCUUCCUGUCCAGAUUUGUGGCAAUAGAAGAGAGAAUAACAAAGGCAGAAAAUUUACCUGCUUCCUCACCAGUGAACAACCAUGGCAUACCCGGAUCAAUCGAUGUCAGUGUCCCCCCAGAGAAAAAUGGGCAGAGGAAAGAUUGAAAUCAAGCGGAUCGAAAACACUACUAAUCGUCAAGUCACCUUCUGUAAGAGGCGCAACGGCUUGCUCAAAAAAGCCUAUGAAUUGUCUGUUCUCUGUGAUGCAGAGGUUGCCCUCAUCGUCUUCUCUAGCCGCGGUCGCCUUUACGAGUAUGCUAACAACAGUGUCAAAUCAACAAUUGACAGGUACAAGAAAGCAUGCGCAGAUUCCUCCAAUACUGGGUCUGUUUCUGAAGCUAAUACUCAGUUCUACCAGCGAGAGGCUGCUACUCUGCGACAACAGAUAAAUAGUGUGCAAGAAUCAAACAGGAAAAUGUUGGGUGAGUCUUUGAGCGGUAUGGCUUUCAAAGAUCUCAAGAGCUUGGAGAGCAAAUUAGAAAGUGGAAUUAGAAGAAUCAGAUCCAAAAAGAAUGAGCUCUUGUUUGCAGAAAUUGAGUAUAUGCAAAAAAGGGAAGUUGACUUGCAUAACAACAACCAGCUUCUUCGUGCAAAGGUUCUUUUUCUCUCACAUAUGCAUAUAUGCGUAUAUAUAACAUGUAAAUGUAUACAAAUACAUAUAUACAUAUAUUGUAUAUUUGCGCGCACACACACACAUAUGAUCCGUACAUAUAGAGCUAGCAUGCACGCGUGCACCCCGGCCAUUUGCAUGCUGGUAAUCGUACGUAGCAAUGAUAAUUAAGCUGUAUGAAGAUUUUUUGGAUGGUGUAGAUAGCCGAGAAUGAGAGGAACCAGCAAAACCUGAACGUGAUGCCAGGAGGGGGGAACUUUGAGCUCAUGCACUCUCAACCAUUUGAUUCUCGAAACUAUUUCCAAGUUGAUGCGUUGCAACCCAAUCAUGAUCAGUACCCGCGCCAAGAUCAGAUGGCCCUUCAAUUAGUUUAAGUGUACGUACGUAUCAAAUGAAAGCUACGUACGGGUAUGUUGUCAGGCACUAAACUAAGGUUAUUACCCUCUCAUGUCGCGGUGAUGGCCGGCUUUGUAAGACAGCGUUAUAAGACUCAUUUAAGUGUGUUAUUAGAGAUUGAUUUAUUUUGUGUGUGUCUAUGCUUGCAGUAAGAACUGAUCUGUAACAGUUGACUAACAUAUAUCCCAUCAUAAUUAGACUGGUUUGGUCUUAAAACUAGUACGUACGUACUCUCUUGAAUUGCCAAAAUAUACAAGUUUGCGUGUGUUUUGUAUUUACA
This is an RNA transcript of Juglans regia (Persian walnut), 1574 nucleotides long. It is a transcript of the gene named floral homeotic protein AGAMOUS, with no coding region annotated. The transcript has 8 exons. The record is from RefSeq and is a predicted model, not a curated record. NCBI's taxonomy places the organism in Eukaryota, Viridiplantae, Streptophyta, Magnoliopsida, Fagales, Juglandaceae.